GAUGAACGCUGGCGGCGUGCCUAAUACAUGCAAGUCGAGCGAACAGACGAGGAGCUUGCUCCUCUGACGUUAGCGGCGGACGGGUGAGUAACACGUGGAUAACCUACCUAUAAGACUGGGAUAACUUCGGGAAACCGGAGCUAAUACCGGAUAAUAUAAUGAACCACAUGGUUCAAUAGUGAAAGACGGUUUUGCUGCCACUUAUAGAUGGAUCCGCGCCGCAUUAGCUAGUUGGUAAGGUAACGGCUUACCAAGGCAACGAUGCGUAGCCGACCUGAGAGGGUUAUCGGCCACGCUUGUACUGAAGCACGGACCAGAUUCCUUCGAGAGGCAGCAGUCGGGAAUCUGCCGCUAGGCGCGAAAGCCUGACGGAGAAACCCCGCUUGUGUUAUGCGUGUUUUCCGACCGUAAAACCCUGUGACAAGGGAAGAACAACUUUGUGCGGAACUAUUCACGUCUUGACGGUCCCUAACCAGAAAGCCCCGGCUAACGACUUG
Molecule: ribosomal RNA, 497 nt
Filed under: uncultured bacterium
Lineage: Bacteria
Description: partial 16S ribosomal RNA
Rfam family: Bacterial small subunit ribosomal RNA
Source: RNAcentral